AUUUGGAGACAUCAAAGGCAGGGCUUACUUUGUAUCAUUGGAUUCACGUGUGCAGGGCAGAGCAGUUCCAGUCUGUGUCACGUCCUUUGUCUCGUCCAUGUUUUGUGUCCUUUGUCUCUUAAUUGUGUCACGUGGUGUGUGUCGUCACGGGUAUGGGGUGUCUCACUUGGGGUCAGCCUGGAACUGCUCUGCCCUGCUACAUGGAUCAGUGGGUAGAUAGAAUAUUGCUCAGUCUCACAUCAAUCAACAUAUCAGUUACCUUAGGCAGUCGAGCCGAUGGCUGUACGGUCCUGCCGGAUGGAGCAGGUGUCCAUAGCUCGUGUGCAAUCAUUAUAGCUGAGUGUUGUAGAGCUGAUGGUACUUGGAUACCAGGGCCUCGAAGCUGGGUUGUCAUUUGUAUUCUUGUAUGCUGCGGUCAGAGUUCUCACUCGCUCAGUGGAAAUGAGUUCUUUGAAGUGGUUCAGGUCUCAGUGACCAUGUGGGUGACCUGACUAACCCUCUGUUUUUUGUUGUUUUUUUUUCAGAUAAGUGGACACAGUGUACCCCAGACAGAGACAAGUUGAAGCAGGCUGGGAAGAAGAUGGGGCCCAAUCAGUCUCAAGGGGUAGCGACUCAGCAGGGAGACGAGCGAGGCAAUACACAACCCUUUGCCCAUCUGCUGAAGGUGUCAAAGGUCCAUCUGAUAAGAGGUCAAGCUAAAGGAGCCCGAGACAGCCAGUCUGAGGCAGUACGUCAGCACAAGCCUCCACGUCCGUGUUUUCUUGCAGCGACCGUCUGUCCACUUCACAGUGUGUAACAACGCUUCGGUGUGCAGUCUGAUGGGGUUUAGAGGUUUUUGGCUUUCCUUGUGAACCAUCCCUAAAUGUUUGAGAGCUCAGUGUUUGAGCAUUUACCCAUUUCAUUUGCAGGGACGGUCUUGGGAGCAGCUGAAGAGAGAGGAGCCUUCUAGGUAUCCUGGAAGGUGACAGCCACAGUGUCUGACUCUGGUCAGGGCCUUGGUGAUGGUGAGUAGGGGGAUCACUGGGGUUCGAGCCCCAUGCCACACUACUCAGAUAUUGCGUAUGAUUUUCUUUCUCACAGUUGACUCCGAGUACUCUCACGAGGACAGGAACCUCUGAGCCAGCCCAAGUGCCCCUCCUCUGCAUCAAAAAUGGAUUCACAUCCCCAGC
Long non-coding RNA from Lepidothrix coronata (blue-crowned manakin), 1169 nucleotides. RefSeq lists it as uncharacterized. The transcript is spliced from 4 exons. NCBI's taxonomy places the organism in Eukaryota, Metazoa, Chordata, Aves, Passeriformes, Pipridae. The record is from RefSeq and is a predicted model, not a curated record.